AUUGAACGCUGGCGGCAGGCCUAACACAUGCAAGUCGAACGGUAGCACAGAGAGCUUGCUCUCGGGUGACGAGUGGCGGACGGGUGAGUAAUGUCUGGGAAACUGCCCGAUGGAGGGGGAUAACUACUGGAAACGGUAGCUAAUACCGCAUAAUGUCGCAAGACCAAGGAGGGGGACCUUCGGGCCUCUUGCCAUCGGAUGUGCCCAGAUGGGAUUAGCUAGUUGGUGAGGUAAUGGCUCACCAAGGCGACGAUCCCUAGCUGGUCUGAGAGGAUGACCAGCCACACUGGAACUGAGACACGGUCCAGACUCCUACGGGAGGCAGCAGUGGGGAAUAUUGCACAAUGGGCGCAAGCCUGAUGCAGCCAUGCCGCGUGUAUGAAGAAGGCCUUCGGGUUGUAAAGUACUUUCAGCGGGGAGGAAGGCGAUACGGUUAAUAACCGUAUUGAUUGACGUUACCCGCAGAAGAAGCACCGGCUAACUCCGUG
RNAcentral lists this ribosomal RNA (488 nucleotides) under uncultured bacterium. Its description in RNAcentral is "partial 16S ribosomal RNA". It matches the Rfam family "Bacterial small subunit ribosomal RNA", at positions 30 to 507 of the family's 1533-position model. The record is from RNAcentral.